GAAAGACACACAUACUGGAUAAGGAAGAUACACACCUUUUGACAUGGUACAGAAUUCUUUUAAAGGAGAUGUCAUUUUAUUAUGAUAUAAAUGUACAUUGACAAACAAAACUCUUUAGCUUUCUUCCAUGUGAUGGCCUUGAAAUGUUUUAUGUUAAUGCAUCGAGUAUAUGGGGCUGCAAAUGAUUUAAGUCAAGCUUUGACCUGCCGAGGUUUGGCUUGUUUAUGAAAAGAGUUUUAAUGGCAAAAUUAUUGAACAAGCCAAGUGCAACCUUGUUCAUAUAAACAAACCAAAAUUGAGCCAAAGUCUUUCUUAAUAAAUUGAAGUUACAAAUGAAAUUCAACUCAACUCAACUCAAC
RNAcentral lists this unclassified non-coding RNA (359 nucleotides) under Hevea brasiliensis (rubber tree). Lineage: Eukaryota; Viridiplantae; Streptophyta; Magnoliopsida; Malpighiales; Euphorbiaceae. The record is from RNAcentral.